GACGAACGCUGGCGGCGUGCUUAACACAUGCAAGUCGAACGCAGUAGCAAUACUGAGUGGCAGACGGGUGAGUAACAUGUGGGAAUCUGCCUUGUGGUUCAGGACAACAUUGGGAAACCGAUGCUAAUACUGGAUAAGCCCUUACGGGGAAAGUUUUAAUGCCAUAAGAUGAGCCCGCAUUUGAUUAGUUAGUUGGUGAGGUAAUGGCUCACCAAGACAAUGAUCAAUAGCUGAUCUGAGAGGAUGAUCAGCCACACUGGGACUGAGACACGGCCCAGACUCCUACGGGAGGCAGCAGUGGGAAUCUUGCACAAUGGAGGAAACUCUGAUGCAGCGAUGCCGCGUGAGUGAAGAAGGCCUU
RNAcentral lists this ribosomal RNA (361 nucleotides) under uncultured bacterium. Its description in RNAcentral is "bacterial SSU rRNA". It matches the Rfam family "Bacterial small subunit ribosomal RNA", at positions 28 to 418 of the family's 1533-position model. The record is from RNAcentral.